AUUGAACGCUGGCGGCAUGCUUUACACAUGCAAGUCGAACGGUAACAGGGUGCUUGCACCGCUGACGAGUGGCGAACGGGUGAGUAAUGCGUCGGAACGUGCCGAGUAGUGGGGGAUAACGUAGCGAAAGUUGUGCUAAUACCGCAUACGUACUGAGGUAGAAAGUGGGGGACCUUCGGGCCUCACGCUAUUCGAGCGGCCGACGUCUGAUUAGCUAGUAGGUGAGGUAAAGGCUCACCUAGGCGACGAUCAGUAGCGGGUCUGAGAGGAUGAUCCGCCACACUGGGACUGAGACACGGCCCAGACUCCUACGGGAGGCAGCAGUGGGGAAUUUUGGACAAUGGGCGAAAGCCUGAUCCAGCCAUGCAGCGUGUCUGAAGAAGGCCUUCGGGUUGUAAAGGACUUUUGUCAGGGAGGAAAUCCCUAGUGCUAAUAACACUGGGGGAUGACAGUACCUGAAGAAUAAGCACCGGCUAACUACGUGCCAGCCGCCGCAGUAA
RNAcentral lists this ribosomal RNA (500 nucleotides) under uncultured bacterium. RNAcentral's name for it is "partial 16S ribosomal RNA". It matches the Rfam family "Bacterial small subunit ribosomal RNA", at positions 30 to 523 of the family's 1533-position model. The record is from RNAcentral.